AGCUCCUCACCAACAGUGCAACCUACAGUAUCAAGCAAAAGGAAGGCCUGAAAACAGAUAUGCUGGUGGGCUUGACAGAACAACCUAUAGGAUCCUCACAGACAGCAAGAUCAUACAGAGCCCUUGGCCUUAAAGCUUUAUAGUAUGGCAUGGUGGCAUGAGUGUCAGUGAUGGCAAUGUUUCCCUCCCCCAUUCAGCGAGAACCCUCAAACUAAAGAAUAAAAUCUCCUGGCACAAUAGAAA
Vidua chalybeata is the source of this 243-nucleotide long non-coding RNA. RefSeq lists it as uncharacterized. The record is from RefSeq and is a predicted model, not a curated record. The transcript has 3 exons. NCBI's taxonomy places the organism in Eukaryota, Metazoa, Chordata, Aves, Passeriformes, Viduidae.